RNAcentral lists this ribosomal RNA (167 nucleotides) under uncultured bacterium. RNAcentral describes it as "partial 16S ribosomal RNA". It matches the Rfam family "Bacterial small subunit ribosomal RNA", at positions 1334 to 1500 of the family's 1533-position model. The record is from RNAcentral.
GCUAGUAAUGGCAGGUCAGCAUACUGCCGUGAAUACGUUCCCGGGCCUUGUACACACCGCCCGUCACACCAUGAGAGUUUGGGAAUACCCGAAGCCUGUGAGCUAACUUUUAGAGGCAGCAGUCGAAGGUAGAAUCAAUGAUUGGGGUGAAGUCGUAACAAGGUAGC